CGGAGAGGUGUCUGAAUAACAGACAGAAUUGCUCUGUUACAGUUUAAUCCCCUGCAGUGAAAUCUGUCUGCAGGCAUUGCACCCAGCCUGGUGGUGACAUCCAUAAGUGCCCCUGGAACAUACAGCCUUCCUACUGCACUGAUGUAAUUCAUGUGACAUACAUUCAAACUGAGCAACCCAUAAACAGUGCUGUAUGGCCAUCUGAGGGUGACAAUGUUACAGUCACACGGCCAUAAUAAACCAUAAAGCUGUGUCACCUCUUUAACAAAUGAUUUUCCCAUCUACAUACUAAAGUCGAGGUACAAAUGCUUUUCUUUGCCAAUAUCUUUUCUGAAAUUGAGAGUUUGGAUAGAUUAUGGGCAUGGCUUUCCUUUUAAAUACAUCUCAACUGGUGAUUGUGACACGCUUGAUCGAUUGUUAGUCAAGGACAAACUGGACUUAUGAACACGACUCUGUACUCUGCCCUGGAGCUGGUUGUGCCCUGUAUGGCUGCAUUUGGCCUCGAUCAGAAAAACAGCUGGCACGUCCUGGAAACCUAAUGGAGAUACUGCAGUCUAAUAGGAAGAGAAGCUCCAGCUCUCAGCACCCCCCUGGCUACAAGGCACCUUGUCUGACCUGCAGUCCCUUCAGACAUGUGUGAGUCUGUUUCUGGGCAAGCCAGGCUGACCCAGCCCAAGAAACUAGGCACUGAAAACCACAAAUCAAGCAGCAUCUACAUAGACUUGUGCUGAGGGUGGAGUUGGUUCUGCUGAAGAAUAUAUCAACUUGUUGAUCAUUCCUGUUCCAGUCAAGGCACCUAGCUCACUUGUUUUAUUCCAUGAUAAUUACUCCGUUACUAUUAUUGCUCGUGUAGAUACUCCCUAAGCUGGUGGUACCUGAACCUGUUUGAGAAAGCCCCAUUCACAAUGCUUCUAGUCCAGCCGGGCUGGUUACACAUGAGAAGGAACAGCUUCUACCUUUCCUGGUGAUCCCUCUCCUUUUCCUAGCAAUGAACGUUAGAUUUGCAGAGGAAACUUGUUCUUAGCCUCGGGGAUGGGAGCGGCAGAGUACGUGGGGCCCUGAGUCUGCCCCAGCCUCCACCACUGUUCAGGAGUUCUCUCAAAUAGUAAUUACAUAUGAAAAAAAAUAAAACAGAUUUCUCCUGUUUUCUUGGAUUUUUG
Molecule: long non-coding RNA, 1160 nt
Filed under: Numida meleagris (helmeted guineafowl)
Lineage: Eukaryota; Metazoa; Chordata; Aves; Galliformes; Numididae
Description: lncRNA (ENSNMEG00000010976.1)
Source: RNAcentral